This is a long non-coding RNA of Acanthopagrus latus (yellowfin seabream), 1898 nucleotides long. RefSeq lists it as uncharacterized. The transcript is spliced from 4 exons. NCBI's taxonomy places the organism in Eukaryota, Metazoa, Chordata, Actinopteri, Spariformes, Sparidae. The record is from RefSeq and is a predicted model, not a curated record.
CAGAUAGCAAGUCUUAAACAAUGGGACUGCUACAAGUGUAUGACAAAACUUGUCAAAACUAGCUUUAUUGUUGAUUAGCAAAUGUUAGCGUGCUAAAAUACUGAACUAAGAUGCCUGACAUGAUAAACACCGUCCCUAAAACAUCCAUCAAUUAUUAUCCAUUGCGGGGUCACGCAGGGGCUCAUCACAGGAAAGAGCUGAACUACAAUUAGCGGCGAAACGUUCUCCUUGUCGACAUCUUCCUGUUUGUGCACUUUCCCGAAGAACUUCAACAACAAUUAUCAUAGCUGCAAGAAUAUAGUGGUUUCUAUUUUAAAGGAGACCAUUUUUGUGGAGAGCAACACCAGUUCUUUUCUUAAGGAGACCUGGGAAUAUUUCCAGAUGGAGGGGAAGGUUGCUGGUGUUAUCACAAGCAAACAAGGCUAUCAAACUGCCGGUCCACAGUUCGAGUCACACCACUUGAUAUUUUUGAGGACACCUGGGGACAUUUCGAGCUGCUGUGAUUCUGCUAAAAGUUAAAUCCUUAACUUGUUUUUAAGGAGACCUGUGGACACUUCCAGCUGUUUUUGUGGAGAGCAACACCGGGUAUUUUCUUAAGAAGAACUUGGGAUAUUUCUUACGGUUCAAGACACAACACUGGAUAUUUUUAAAGACACCUGGCAACAUUUCAAGCUGCUUUUAUUCCAGCAAAACCAGGUGUUUUUAAGGAGACGUGAGGAAAUUUCCAUCCACUCUUGUGGCGACAGAAAUCAGGCAUGUGUUAAGGACACCUGUGGACAUAUCCAGCCUUUUUUGUGGAGAGCAAAACCAGAUGUUUUUAAAGGAAACCUGGGGAAAUUUCCAGCUGUUGUCAUGGAGAGCAAAACUGUCUAUCUUUCACCAGUGGUCGAACCGCCUCCACCCAUUACUGUGUUGACCAAAACAUGUAUUUUAUGAUUAUGCCUAACCCUAACCAAGUGGUCCAUAUGUCUAAACGUUACCAGUACAGCGUUGUGGCAAGAUAGAAAUAGAAAACACCACCUCAAUAACCAAAAGUUGCAGCAUAAAGACACACUAAGUUAUUUGUGACUCUGCAGAAAGAUAGCCAACAUUUCUUCUGGCCACCGUUCUGCUCCUUAGCUCAUUUACACUCGCUAUGUGCGAAUAGAAACAUGUUGUAUGACACCUACAGAAAAGCUAACAAAUGCCGAGCUCUGGCUUGUUUACAGAAGGAUGACCAAAUGGUCCGAGUCUACUGUACAGAGUGUCCCAUCAUUUCAGUUCGCCACAGGGACAUGUAGGACAGCAGAGCACCUCAGCUGCACUCAGUGUAAACCACCUCAGCCUGUAUACAUCAGCAGUGACUGUUAGUGCCUGUGCUCGGGGCCCAUCUGUGUGUAUGUAUGGAGCAUUAAGUGUGUUAGAAAGAAAUUGCCACCUCUGCAGUUCCACUAUAUUAGUUUGUCCUCACCAGCGCAGGGCGACAAAGACAGCGUUGCCAUGUAUCUGCUGACGGAUCAGUCUCUCAGCAGUGGGUGAAACCCUUAUGUCAACUCAGUGAGACUGUGCGGCUCGCCCUCCCCUCUGAACAAAUAAGAUCAGAGUCAAAAUGAAAAGCAUUAUUACUGCUGACAUCUUUAUCUCCGGUCUACCUUAUUUAAUAACCAAUUUCUUUCAAGGCUUCCUGGAGGAGUUUAUCCUUUGGGCAAGCUUCUCUCUCUUUGCUGCUGAGAAUCUGCUGUUUAGUUAUGUACACUCCGUUGCCAGGGGGCAAGAAGCGGUUUCAUAGCUGUUGGCCUCAUGGUUGGUUCCACAUUUCCUGUCUGGUAUCACUGUAUGUUUAUUCCAGUAAAACUCUGGGGAAGUGCUUCUCCGGGUGAAGGUGUUUAUAAGGCAGCACAUGGAGCUUAGGGGGGAAA